Molecule: signal recognition particle RNA, 277 nt
Filed under: Candidatus Iainarchaeum sp.
Lineage: Archaea; Nanobdellati; Candidatus Iainarchaeota; Candidatus Iainarchaeia; Candidatus Iainarchaeales; Candidatus Iainarchaeaceae
Description: signal recognition particle sRNA
Rfam family: Archaeal signal recognition particle RNA
Source: RNAcentral
UUGCGAGCUAGGCCGGGAAGUCAGCAGUUUCCUGUAUCCGCAAAUCUGCUUUAGGCGGGGCCGAAGCCUUUAAGGCGGCUUAAGGUUUUUUCAAAAAACUGCGGCAAUGCCGCUGACCUUUUGUCCUUAAAGGCGUUUUUGCUGAAAGAACCCCGCCAGGUUCGGAAGAAAGCAACGGUAGUUCAACAAGAGCGUGCAUUAAGGGAAACAAAAGCGAGGCAUUCUGACAGCCAAGUUUGAAAAUUUCCUUUAAGUCCACUCGAAGGCGCGCUCGCAC